Molecule: transfer RNA, 85 nt
Filed under: Felis catus (domestic cat)
Lineage: Eukaryota; Metazoa; Chordata; Mammalia; Carnivora; Felidae
Rfam family: tRNA
About the family: Transfer RNA (tRNA) molecules are approximately 80 nucleotides in length. Their secondary structure includes four short double-helical elements and three loops (D, anti-codon, and T loops).
Source: Rfam by way of RNAcentral
GCCUGGGUGGCUCAGUCGGUUAAGCGUCUGACUUCGGCUCAGGUCAUGAUCUCACAGCUUGUGGGUUGGAGCCCCGCAUCAGGUU